UCUUUAUAUGCUUCAAAUUUAGUAAUACAACCUACCUCAAAUUCCUUAAUCUUGUUCUCAAUCAACAAACGUUUUUGCCUUUCUUCUUCCUCUUGUUUCAAACACUCCUCCAAUUCUAUGGUGCUCAAAACAAGUCCCCCAGACCCAUUAUUCUUGUAAAUUGGUUCUUCAGGCAGUGCGCAUUUUGCUCGAUAAUUAGCAAAUGCCUUGUGCGUCUCCUUCAAAGCCUUUCUAUAUCCUUCUAAAAGAUUUCCCAUCGUAUAUAAUUCACGUUCAAGCCUAUAAACCUCUGAAUGCCUUUUUUGUUGCUCCUCCAUCUUGGCCUUGUGUAAAUGCUGAAUCGCCAUAUCCCGCUUUUGCAACUCACUAAGCAACAACUGUUGACUCAUACUCAUAUCUUGAUAAGCCUGCUCCUUUGCCUCAUACAACAUCCUAGCUUUCCCCAUUAAAUGUUCCAUUUGCUCCAUAGAAAUUUCAAAAUCGGAUGAUGAUUUCAUAUCCCAAAGUCCAUCACUCCUAAUCCUCUUAUUACCCCCAUUAAGUGCAUGAUGGGGCAUAUCAUUCUCAAGAUGCUCAAUUUCCCUCUUGUUUCC
Molecule: unclassified non-coding RNA, 593 nt
Filed under: Hevea brasiliensis (rubber tree)
Lineage: Eukaryota; Viridiplantae; Streptophyta; Magnoliopsida; Malpighiales; Euphorbiaceae
Source: RNAcentral